This 72-nucleotide transfer RNA is filed under the name Candidatus Woesebacteria bacterium. RNAcentral describes it as "tRNA-Pro". It matches the Rfam family "tRNA". Rfam says of the family: Transfer RNA (tRNA) molecules are approximately 80 nucleotides in length. Their secondary structure includes four short double-helical elements and three loops (D, anti-codon, and T loops). Lineage: Bacteria; Candidatus Woeseibacteriota. The record is from RNAcentral.
CGGGGACUGGCUUAAUGGUAGAGCGCUCGGUUCGGGAUCGAGAGACUCCGGGUUCGAUUCCCGGGUCCCCGA